AGUGAACGCUGGCGGUAGGCCUAACACAUGCAAGUCGAACGGCAGCACAGUAAGAGCUUGCUCUUACGGGUGGCGAGUGGCGGACGGGUGAGGAAUACAUCGGAAUCUACUUUUUCGUGGGGGAUAACGUAGGGAAACUUACGCUAAUACCGCAUACGACCUACGGGUGAAAGCAGGGGAUCUUCGGACCUUGCGCGAUUGAAUGAGCCGAUGUCGGAUUAGCUAGUUGGCGGGGUAAAGGCCCACCAAGGCGACGAUCCGUAGCUGGUCUGAGAGGAUGAUCAGCCAAACUGGAACUGAGACACGGUCCAGACUCCUACGGGAGGAAGCAGGGGGGAAUAUUGGACAAUGGGCGCAAGCCUGAUCCAGCCAUACCGCGUGGGUGAAGAAGGCCUUCGGGUUGUAAAGCCCUUUUGUUGGGAAAGAAAAGCAGCAGGUUAAUACCCCGCUGUUCUGACGGUACCCAAAGAAUAAGCACCGGCUAACUUCGUG
This 492-nucleotide ribosomal RNA is filed under the name uncultured bacterium. Its description in RNAcentral is "partial 16S ribosomal RNA". It matches the Rfam family "Bacterial small subunit ribosomal RNA", at positions 29 to 507 of the family's 1533-position model. The record is from RNAcentral.